GCAGACAAAAGACUAGGCUCAACAUAUCACAUCAUGAUAAGGAAAUUUGUUUUCAGAGAAAGCAUCUAGGACAUCAUAGACCGGCUCUACAAUAUCUGAUUCAAUCAAAAACCAAACGAAGUCCACGGCUGUAGGGGCUGUCAUAUUUAUUCAGUACUUACUUGGGAAUUAGGAUAGAUGCUUCACUCAUUGCAACAAAUGCUAAAUCAAUAGUUUAGAGAUUCAGCAAUUCGGAAAAAGAAACUAAUUACAUAGCCUUAAUUUAGUACUACCUCUCUAUAAUGAUGAAGAAACAAAUCUAGUAGUACAUGGUGUUAAUUUUGUGCUCGACUAUCUGUUGUGGAUGCCAAAUUAUUGAAAACUUACACAUUAAUUUCAACCCAACAAACUGUAGACUACAAUCUAAGAUGAUUCUCAGAGAUCUGGUCAUAGAUUGAUAGAAUAAUCACAUUUGUUUUCAUCUUAUGUGGUGUGACAUAUUUAUCAUGUCGUACAUAGGCAUAAAGUAACAGCCUCCAUGCUCAUAAUCAACCAACCUAGGUGUCGGUGAUUAAGCAAAAUAGGUCUUAAAUUUUAGGGCGAAAAAGAAAUAAAAAAUCUGUUCAAAAUGGUCCCUACAAGGCUACAAUGAAAAGUUAACAAGAACAAUUAGUCAGGAAAUUAAAGUGGUGUUUGAUGUUAAAGAAAAUCAAACGGGCAAUAGGAAGCACCUUUUCGUCUUAAAUGCGACAUGUAUGGCUCCAUAUUCAAACAAGCCAUCAUUGACUUGUUCUUCAUCCUCUCAUUUUCAAAGUCCCUGUCCCUACCAUCCCUUCUCAGCCA
This 822-nucleotide long non-coding RNA is filed under the name Citrus sinensis (sweet orange). RNAcentral describes it as "long non-coding RNA (CSIN_LNC002394)". Lineage: Eukaryota; Viridiplantae; Streptophyta; Magnoliopsida; Sapindales; Rutaceae. The record is from RNAcentral.